GAUUUGAGGAAGGGUCCCCAGGGGGCGCUCCCCUGGGAAGCGGGAGGAAGGAGGGGUGAGAAGAGUCCCGAAGCGGGCCUCCACUCUUUUCCUCGGUCUCCGCAUGCCGGCUUAUCAGCCCAGCACGGUGGGCGCCGGCGACUGAAAGCCCCGCAGUGCGCUGGCUCCUGGUUUCUGGUUUCGCUUUGCGGCGUAGUUGGGGUGAUCGGACCCAUUCGUGCAGCCCCAGGGGUCCCGUUAUUAAUUGUUGUCAGCUGGAAAACCUAGGCGUCAUCGUCACCGAAAUUUUUCUUAGACGAAUAUUUAAUCCUUACUGUUUCACCGGUUACUCCUUGCGGUCUGUCCAUCCGCAGCUUUUGUUUGAGUCAGUUUCCAUGGUGUGUGGUUUCCCAGACCGUUACUCUUACAUAUUUUACGUACUACAAAAUGCUCUUCAUUUGAAUAUUUACAGGGUGCAAAUUGAGCUGUUGGAUGACUAUGGGUGUUUUGCACUCAAGUAUUUUUAGGGUUUACGUCUCAUAUAAUCAGUAUAAGGCCGGGAAAAUUGGGCCACAGGGGAAAACGCUGGCAGGAGCAUAGGCUCUAAACUUACGAUAAGGAUCUCUAGACUUAUUGCUUAAUAGAUGUAUAGAAUAGUAGAAUUUUUUAGUUUAAUCAGAUUAUUUUUCUUUUAAGGAAAACUUGUUUCAAAAAAUAAUGAGACUGUUCUAGUUCCACUUCUGGUUGAGACAACUGUAUCAUUUGGAAAGGUCUGACCAAAGCAGAUAAUAAGCUAUUUGAUUUGAACCUAAUACGAAUAUUGUUAGUGAAUUCAUGCUAUUAAUAUAAACAUGGGGAAAACUAGGAAUCUUAUUGAAAGACAGUGCUAAUUUUAAGGAAAAGUAAUAGUAAUAAGUUAUACUACACCGGGGGCUUUAUGUUAUUUAAUUUACUUUGGCAGGAUUAAAAUAAAAAGGACAGUACAAAAGUAUUGCAGGAAUAAACUAUUUGACCUCUUGCCAUAUGCAAGAGGGAUAGUCUACUUAAGAUUGCUUCUUAUUUUUGAUCUGGUUUAUAGCCAGCUUUCACUUUUUUGUCUUGAGCUCUUUAUAACUUAUGCCUUUAUAACCUAUUUGUAAAAAAUAACUGCACAUUUAAUGACGUUAGAUUGUAGGAAAUAGAUUAUUUUAAUCGUUUGAAAUUCAGAGUUAAGGAGAUAAUUUUUACAUUUAUUUAUUGUUAGAAUUUUCAGUGACCUUUCACAUAUACAAUCUUAUUUGAUCCUCAUGCCAGUCCUCUGAGUUAGAAAUGCCAAGAAGUAAAGUCUUUUCCCAUGACAGAAGCAUUUCGAGAUUGUGUAAGGAUCAGAAUUUCCCUAAAGCCUGAAAUAAUCUUGAAGUAACCUUUGAUAUAAAUUGGAAUUCAGCUAAGUAUUGGAACACUGUGAAGUAUAACAUGGGACAGACUCUGGACUCUUUGCAAGGAGAUGAAGUACAUACAUGGUGAAAGAUUUUUGGUGAGAAACAUGAAAUGUAGUCAUUUCCCAAAAAUAAAGGAAUAAGUAACAGCUUUCUUUAGUGUUGUUUUUAAACUUUUUUUUUAAGUCUGCAUGUGAUUUCAGGAGCAUUUUGAUAAAUAGGUUAGUCCCAAAGAGUCUGAGAUAAGCUCAGUUUGUUUGUCUGUAAAAAGGAGCAUGAAUUUUAUACUAAUACUUAAGAAUGCAUAUAUAAAAAUAAAUGUUCUUUUCAAAAGUUACUCUAGAAGGCUAUGUAGGUCAAUAUCUAUGGGUCUAUCAGGGAAAGAAAGCCCUUUGGAAAAUAAAAAGAAUGGAACAUGGUUUCUACCCUUAAAGAAUUUAAAGUCAGGCUUGUAGUCAAGUAGGGUAGGUUUUUACAGAACUGUGGUAAAAUGUCUUAUGACUAUUACAAUCAGGAAUUUAGGUGAGGGAGACAUUACCUGUGAUUGAAUCUUGAUAGAGAUGAUAUUUGAGAUGAGUGAGCUUUGCAAGGUUUUCAACAGGCGAAUAUUGGAGAACAUUUCUAAAAACAAUAGAUUAUUGCGUUCCUGGAAAGGUACAACUUAUAUUUGAGAAAGGAUCAGUACAACAGUUUGGCUGAUAAUAAGUUAUGAUUUAUCUAAGUUAGAAAUAGGAGAUGAAAAAGACAAAUUACGAAGGGCUUCAUUGAAGAUGUUUGGUUAGAAGAGGUAUGUGAUCCAUAUGAAUGCAGAAUGAGCUGUAAUUGGGAGAUGAUUGAGACCAAGAGAACACUUGGGCAGCUUUAGGUUAAGCAAGAUCUUGAUAGUGUCACUUUUUUUUUUUGCAGUACGCGGGCCUCUCACUGUUGUGGCCUCUCCCGUUGCGGAGCACAGGCUCCGGACGCGCAGGCUCAGCGGCCAUGGCUCACGGGCUCAGCCGCUCCGCGGCAUGUGGGAUCUUCCUGGACCAGGGCAUGAACUCGUGUCCCCUGCAUCGGCAGGCGGACUCACAGCCGCUGCGCCACCAGGGAAGCCCCGAUAGUGUCACUUUUGUGGCCCUUGUAGUUUCUCCAAAGUGCUAUCUUGGGACACGGGUUUAAGCCCUGGUCGGGGAAGCUCACAUGCCGCGGAGCAACUAAGCCUGUGCACCACAACUACUGAGCCCGUGUGCCACAACUACUGAAGCCUGCGCGCCUAGAGCCCAUGAUCCGCAACAAAAGAAGCCACUGCAAUGAGAAGGCCGUGCACCACAACGAAGAGUAUCUCCCGCUCGCCGAAAGUAGAGAAAGCCUGCGCACAGCAACAAAGACCCAACGCAGCCAUAAAUAAAUAAAUAAAUUUAAAAAUAAAACAGUGCUCAUCAGGGGACUUCCCUGGUGGUGCAGUGGAUAAGACUCCACGUCUUAUCCACUGGGGGCCCGGGUUCAAUCCCUGGUAAGGGAACUAGAUCCCACAUGUGUGCUGCAACUAAGAGUUCGCAUGCCACAACUAAGGAGCCCAUGAGCCACAACUUAAGACCCGGCACAACCAAACAAAUAAAUAUAUUUUUUUAAAAAGUGCUCAUCAGCAUAUUUUAUAGGUUAAAAGUCUCCACGGACUCUUAUUAUGGAUUGAUUUAGAAUAAAAUAAACCUUUCUGCCUAUUGUACUCUUUGCUGAUAUUAAUACUUCUAUUGUCAAUGUUUUUGGCUUGCUUUUGUUGUAUAGUAAUUUUCUUCUAUGGUAAAUAUGGAAAAAAAGCUGUAAGGUUAUUAUAAUGUUGUAUUUUUACAAUUAAAAUAAUUUUGAAACCUAGUAUUUAAAAUAGUACAGUUGGGCUUCCCUGCUGGCACAGUGGUUAAGAAUCCACCUGCCAGUGCAGGGGACAUGGGUUCGAGCUCUGGUCCAGGAAGAUCCCACAUGCUGCGGAGCAACUAAGCCUGUGCGCCACAGCUACUGAGCCUGCGCUCUAGAGCCUGCAAACCGCAACUACUGAGUCCACAAGCCACAACUACCGAAGCCUGCCCACCUAGAGCCCGUGCUCCGCAACAAGAGAAGGCACCGCAAUGAGAAGCACAUGCACUGCAACGAAGAGCAGCCCCCACUUGCCUCAACUAGAAGAAAGCCGCACACAGCAACGAAGACCCAACACAGCUAAAAAUAAUAAAUAAAAUUAAAAAUAAAAUAAAAUAGUACAGUUGGGGGCUUCCAGGGUGGUGUAGUGGUUAAGAAUCCUCCUACCAAUGCAGGGGACAUGGGUUCGAUCCUUGGUCCGGGAAGAUCCCACGUGCCCCGGAACAACCAAGCCCGUGCACCACAACUACUGAGCCGUGCGCUCUAGUGCCUGCGAGCCACAACUACUGAAGCCCACGCGCCUAGAGCCCGUGCUCCACAACAAGAGAAGCCACCACAAUGAGAAGCCCGCGCACUGCAACAAAGAGUAGCCCCCGCUCGCUGCAACUAGAGAAAUCCCAGGCAGAACAACAAAGACCCAGUGCAGCCAAAAAUAAAUAAUUAUUUUUAAAAAAACAGUUUAAAAAAGUAAAAGAUAAAAUAGUACAGUUGGACUAGUCAGAUUAGUUGUAGUAAUGGAACAGUUGUAUAGGUUGAAACUACUGACAGGCAAAUCAGUUUUUCUGUAGUCAGAGAAUCUUAGAAUUGACUUUAGGGCAAAAUGCUGUCCUUUGAAACACCUGACAGUUGGUCUUCCAGCCUCUGUGUGUAACAAUGAUGGGGAACAUCCUACUUCCCAAGGUUCCACCUUCCAUUUUUAUAUAACUCUAAUUGUUGAAAAUCUUCACCAUUGACUGGAGUUGCUAUUUCUAAAUUUCUCAAGUUACGUAAAAAAGAAAAGAUCUCUCUUACUUUGGUCAUAAUGUCCAAAUAAUUGGAAUGCAUAUAUCAAGUCCUCCAACUUUUUUUUUUUUUUGGCUGCUUGGAGCGACUUACAGAAUUGUAGUCCCCCAGCCUAGGGCCUGGGCAGUGAAAGUGCCGAGUCCUAACCGCUGGACCGCCAGGGAACUCCCCUCAAGUCCUCCAACUUUUGCCUUCCGCUGUCUAAACAUAACAUCCAUACUUUCAAUUUUUGCUUAUAAUAGUUAACAUUUAUUGAGUGCUUACUCUCACCCUGUUCGAAGUAAUUUAUAUAUGUUAACAAAUGUGUUAUAUAACACACCCCCAACUCCACGAGGUAGAUUUUUGUAAUUAUCUCAAUUUUAUAGAUGAGGGAACUGAGGCACGGAGAGGUGACUUAACCCUGGUCACAAACCUAGGACAUAGUGGAGCUUGGAUUUGAACCCAGGUAGCCUUGCUCCGGAAACUUUACUUUUAGCCAUAGUGUUGUCUUUAUGAGGAUACAGUUUUCAAAUUAUUUAAGACUGUCUAUGGAAGGCAUUUGUAUUCUGUAGCUUUUAACGUUCUUCAUAAAUAAAACGUUCACUAAAUAAUCUACUUAGUUUAUGAGUACAAUAAGACUGGCUUCUCUUUUUAUUGUGAAACCUAUUCUGUUGAUAAAUUGAGUGAGAACUGCACUGUUGUUUCCUUCAUCUUUUAGCAUCUAGAAUCUAAAUACCUGAAACCCUUUUUUUGGCCUUACUUUAGACAGUAGACUCUUUUUUUUAAAAUUAAUUAAUUAAUUAAUUUAUUUUUGGGUGUGUUGGGUCUUCGUUUCUGUGCGAGGGCUUUCUCUAGUUGCGGCGAGCAGGGGCCACUCUUCAACGCGGUACGUGGGCCUCUCACUAUCGCGGCCUCUCUUGUUGCGGAGCACAGGCUCCAGACGCGCAGGCUCAGUAGUUGUGGCUCACGGGCCCAGUCGCUCCACGGCAUGUGGGGUCCUCCCAGACCAGGGCUCGAAUCCGUGUCCCCUGCAUUGGCAGGCAGAUUCUCAACCCCUGUGCCACCAGGGAAGCCCCUGACAGUAGACUCUUUUAAUGCCAAUAUAGAAUACUAUAUCCAUCCUUGUUAAUCUUAGCUCAUUUUUCUAAAUAAAAUGUCAUUUCUUUAAUUAUUUUUAUAAUUUUAUAAUUAGAUUUAACUAGCCUGUCUUCUGUGUCUUUAUCCAGAUUUUUGUUAAGAAUUUUGAACAGUUCUGCCAUCUGCUAAUACAGAGUUUCUUCUGGAUUCAUAUUAAUCUUCUGUGUAACUAAUAAAUUAGCAACCAGUUCUCAUGACAAGUUUUUUUGUCACAGUCGCUUGAUUCUGAUUCUUUAUAAAUAGCUUUACUUUUUGGAAUAGACUAGAUAAUGGAAUACAGGCAGUUUUUCAAUAUUAAAAGGUUCUCCUUAGGUUACCAACUAUGUCUUGAUGUGUAACAAAUAUUAAUAACACUGGUCCCUGUGCUUUUCCUGUAUUAAAACUUGAAUGUCUGCUAUUCUUUUAUUAGGAUGACCGGGUCAGAAUUUGGGGCCUGAAGAUUUGGGGAUUGUACUGCUAAAAAGUAAUUAUCUUCCCCACCCCCUUAAAAGUAAUAUCUUCAGAAGCAGUUUUGAAUCUACAGAUGGGCACUUGAGCCCCUGCCAAAGCUGUACAUCAUACAGCAUGAUGCUGUCAUUUCAACCUGGAAGAUUUUUCAGUUGUUAUUACCAUCAUUAUUGCUGAGGAGAUUUCAAAUUGUCCAGAUAGGGUAGAUAGAGGGAAAAGUUGUCUGAUAAAAGAUUGCAAAGGUCAGGACAAAUUGAGGUCAAAUUAUGGAAAGCCUUAAUUUCCAUGCACAGUUUGAAUAUCUUUUGCUCUCUAGUAAUUCCCAGCCUGUGAUCCCCAAGCUUCCAGAGGAGUCUUAGAGUUUUGUAGGUUAAUAGUUUUGUAGAUUUGUAUAUUUUGGAGAUUAAACCCUUGUUGGUUUCUUCACUUGCAUAUAUUUUCUUCCAUUCUGAGGGUUGGCUUUUUGUUUUGUUUAUGGUUUCCUUUGCUGUGCAAAAGCUUUUAAGUUUAAUUAGAUCCCAUUUGUUUAUUUUUGUUUUAAUUUUCAUUACUCUAGGAAGUGGAUCAAAAAAGACCUUGUUGCAGUUUAUGUCAAAGAGUGUUCUGCCUAUGUUUUCCUGUAAGAGUUUUAUAGUGUCUGGCCUUACAUUUAGGUCUUUGAUCCAUUUUAAGUUUAUUUUUGUGUAUGAUGUUUGGGAGUGUUCUAAUUUCAUUCUUUUACAUGUAGCUGUCCAGUUUUCCCAGCAUCGCUUAUUGAAGAGACUGUCUUUUCUCCAUUGUAUAUUCUUACCUCCUUCGUCAUAGAUUAGGUGACAGUAGGUGCGUGGGUUUAUCUCUGGGCUUUUUACCCUGUUCCAUUGAUCUGUAUUUCUGUUUUUGUGCCAGUACCAUACUCUCUCGAUUACUGUAGCUUUGUAGUAUAGUCUGAAGUCAGGGAGCCUGAUUCCUCCAGUUCCAUUUUUCUUUCUCAAGAUUGCUUUGGCCAUUUGGGGUCUUUUGUGUUUCCAUACAAAUUGUAAAAUGUUUUGUUCUAAUUCUAUGAAAAAAUGCCAUUGGUAAUUUGAUGGGGAUUGCAUUGAAUCUGUAGAUCGCUUUGGGUAGUAUAGUCAUUUUCAUAGUAUUGAUUGUUCUGAUCCAAGAACAUCGUAUAUCUCUCCAUCUGUUUGUUCAUCUUUGAUUUUUUUCAUCAGUAUCUUAUAGUUUUCUUUUGUAAAAAAUAAAUUUAUUUAUUUUUAUGUAUUUGGCUGUGUCAGGUCUUAGUUCCAGCGUGCAGAAUCUUUGUUGCGGCAUGUGGGAUCUGUUGUUUCAGUGAGCAGGCUUCUCUCUAGUUGUGGUGUGUGGGCUCUUGAGCGUGGGGGCUCAGUAGUUGCGGCACGCGGGCUCUCUAGUUGUGGUGCACAGGCUCCAGAGCAUGCAGGCUUAGUUGCCCCAUGACGUGUGAUCUUACUUCCGCAACCAGAGAUCGAACCCGUGUCCCCUGCAUUGGAAGGCGGAUUCUUAACCACUGGACCACGAGGGAAGUUCCAGUAUCUUAUAGCUUUCUGAGUACAGGUCUUUGGCCUCCUUAGGUGGGUUUAUUCAUAGGUGUUUUAUUCUUUUUGUUGUGAUGGUAAAUGGGACUAUUUCCUUAAUUUCUCUUUCUGAUCUUUCGUUGUUAGUGUAUAGGAAUGCAAGAGAUUUCUGUGUAUUAAUUUUGUAUCCUGCAACUUUACCAAAUUCAUUGAUUAGCUCUAGUAGUUUUCUAAUAGCAUCUUUAGGAUUUUCUGUGUAUAGUAUCAUGUUAUCUGCAAAUUAAUUCUCAUUAAGCUGUUUAAAUACCAGAACAUUAAUAGCAGAAUGGAGAGAACUGAUCUUUCUCUAUUCCCCCUUUCUUCUUUGCUGUGA
Orcinus orca (killer whale) is the source of this 7736-nucleotide long non-coding RNA. RefSeq lists it as uncharacterized. The transcript has 2 exons. The record is from RefSeq and is a predicted model, not a curated record. Lineage: Eukaryota; Metazoa; Chordata; Mammalia; Artiodactyla; Delphinidae.